Molecule: unclassified non-coding RNA, 347 nt
Filed under: fungal sp.
Lineage: Eukaryota; Fungi
Description: partial internal transcribed spacer region
Rfam family: Eukaryotic small subunit ribosomal RNA (bases 1-46)
Source: RNAcentral
AAGUCGUAACAAGGUUUCCGUAGGUGAACCUGCGGAAGGAUCAUUAACACGUAUCCAACGUUAAACCCCCCGUGAACUUUUAUUGCGAACCACGCCUUUGUUAAAAAGUAGCAAUCCCUGGUAAAUCAUCGCCGAAUAAGUGGCCUGGCAUUCCUCUGCUUGUUAGUGUCUGACAGUGUCACUAGCUCUGUACGAAUGGCGCAGUCACGAUCGCUGGAGGCCGACACGGCCGGCGACCGGGUCACCGGGCAUAGACCCCCCUAUCACCUUUGCAUGAAAACGGGCCUGCGCUUAAUUGUGCGGCCACCAAACUCGAACAACUGUUAACAAUGGAUAUCUUGGUUCUC